This is a long non-coding RNA of Chenopodium quinoa (quinoa), 621 nucleotides long. RefSeq lists it as uncharacterized. The record is from RefSeq and is a predicted model, not a curated record. NCBI's taxonomy places the organism in Eukaryota, Viridiplantae, Streptophyta, Magnoliopsida, Caryophyllales, Amaranthaceae. The transcript is spliced from 3 exons.
UUUCUAUUUUUUAAAGAAACUACUCCUACUCUUCCUCGGUUCCUCCGAAUCAAACCUGCCCCAAUUUUUCUACGGCGUCAUACCUUCAAUAAUUUUUCGCUGUCCUCUCAAACUCCUCUAAAAUUCAUCCAAAACUCAAUCAUCGAAGAGUAUAAUCAAGCUGGGUGGCGAGAGUUUCGAGCGCAAUAGAGAGCAAUUAGGGCUUGUAAUUCCUCAUCAUCAUCCGGCAAGUGGGACUAUUCCGAAACGCAUGUCUGCAAAAGGAGAGCGCGCAGGUUGCUGCUGGGUGGCCUAUUUGGCUUGCUGCCAUUGUAGGGGAGGCUAUUGUAGGGUGGUUGUCGCGGGGUGAUUCCUCUCAGAUGUCAAAUAAGGAGUAUUUGGCAAAACUUGCAGCCUACAACGAUGUAGAAUUGGAUGAGAUUCGAGAACAAUGGGCUAAGUUAUUUAGACUUAAUUUUUUGUUGAAAGACUAGUUAUCUUAUUAAUCGAUGUUAUGAUUAAUCACGUUUAGUUUAAUAAAAUAAUAUAACAAAUUUCUAUAAAUAUACUUUUAUUUAGCCUAUUGGUUAUUGUUGAUACAUUUCUAAAUUAUAAAUCAAUGAUUUUUUAUUCAAGUUUUAA